GACCUCCACAUUUAUGCAGCUGAAUCAGAAGCCUAUUUUUCAACUUUUACAAGCUGCUUCCAUAAAAGUGUAAAGUGAAAAUUAUCAAUCUUUGAGUGGAAGAAGUAGAGGCUUUCUGUGAUUAAAAUCAUCAUAGUAACUAUGUCCAAAUUUAAGCUUGCAAAGUCCUAUUCCAAAACUUCAGUUGGCCAAAGCUGCUUCCAUCUGGAAAUUUCUUCUUCGCUAUUUAGCUUUCUG
Molecule: unclassified non-coding RNA, 237 nt
Filed under: Hevea brasiliensis (rubber tree)
Lineage: Eukaryota; Viridiplantae; Streptophyta; Magnoliopsida; Malpighiales; Euphorbiaceae
Source: RNAcentral